GUACAGAUCAAACUAGUACAAACGUACAGGGGGAAGCGCACUGUUACCACAAUAAAGAGAAUAUUACACAACAGUACAGGAGUUCAACAGGAGACUUCUAGUGUUACAAUAGAACGAAAGGUUAGGACACAGGUCACCCUACUACAACAGCACAGGUACAGAGUUCAGGACACAGGUCACCCUACUCCAACAGCACAGGUACAGAGUUCAGGACACAGGUCACCCUACUACAUCAGCACAGGCCACUAUUACAACAGAGUAGGUACAGUGCUCAGGCCACAAGGAAGAGGGGUACAAUGGCACAGGUACAGAGUUCAGGACACAGGUCACAGUACUACAACAGUACAGGUACAGAGUUCAGGAUACAAGACAGGGGUAUUUAGAGUACAGUGUUACAACAGUACAGGUACAAAGUUCAGUACACAAGGCAGAGGGGUACAAUGGUACAGCGUUCAGGACACACGUCACAGUAUUACAACAGUACAGGUACAGAGGUCAGUACACAAGGCAGAGAGGUACAAUGGUACAGGGUUCAGGACAGAUCACAGUAUUACAACAGUACAGAUACAAAGUUCAGUAUUCAAUGGCACAGGUACAGAGCUCAAGGCACACAUCACAGUAUUACAACAGUACAGGUACAGAGUUCAGUACACAAGGCAAAAGGGUACAAUGGUAAAGGUACAAAGAUCCGGACACAGAUUACAGUAUUACAGCAGUACAGAUACAAAGUUCAGUAUUCAAUGGCACAGGUAGACUUCAAGGCACACAUCACAGUAUUACAACAGUACAGGUACAGAGUUCAGGACACAAGGUAGAGGGGUACAUUGGUACAGGGUUCAGGACAGGUCACAGUAUUACAACAGUACAGGUACAGAGUUCACUAUGUAAGGUAGAGGGAUACAAUGGUACAGGUACAGAAUUCACUACAGCAGGCAGAGUUCACUGCAUAGUUCUGAUCAUAACAGAAGAGGUAAGUUCAGUCUCCCUGUUUGAGUAUUAGAACAGAACAGGCAGAGUCCAGCACACCGCUCUGGGAAAUACAGUACAAUAGGACAGGCACAUACUUCUGAAAUUACAAAAGUGCACGUGAGACUUCAGUAUUACAAUAAAGGUGAGAGCUCAGUGAACAAGUCUGAGUGUUUUAACUGUGCAGGUGAAGAGCUCAGUACACGUCUGAGAAUUAAAGCUCAGUACAGGUGAGUCUUCAUCAUAGAGAUGUUACUGUAACAGCAACAACUUUCCAAAGUUAUACUGAAUCAGGAAGGAUGAGUACGUUUAAAACCACAAUGAAACUAGCGAAUAUGCAGCCUCCACAUCGCAACAGCGAUGAAGUUUCAAUGUGCAACACCAUACUGCCAGCAUUUCAGAACGAGGCAACAAAACAGACGCAAAAGCAGCCCUCUUGCACUGCAAACAUGCUCUAAACCAGGAGAUUUGUGCUACUAGGUUCACGUUAGAUACACGAAACAGACAUAUACAGUACAGCAACAUGUUUUUAAGAUGCUUUUUCCCCCAAGAACAGCAGAAAAGCAUUCUGCCAACCAAAUAAAAUACACUCCUUUGUUUUCAAGUCUUGCAAGAGUAUUCCAUUUCCACUGGUGGUUAUUCUAUGGAAGAUCACACAUGAGAGACAUUCCUGCAGGUCUUAUAUUUCUGGAGGACAUGCUGUGUCACAGGCUGUGUUUGUGAUCUGAACGAGUGCAGGUGAACAGAAUUCAACAGCUCGAUUUCAAGACUGUUCUACCCACAAACACUACUUACUUGUCAGCUCAGCACACAGAUGUUGAACAGUUCUGGGUGAAAUGUGCUGCACAACCUGUGCUUGCUGGAUGGGACUUGUGGAGGAGACCCACAUCAGUGCCCGUGUUUAUGACCCGUCUCCUUCCUGGCUGAUCCCUUGGAGAAGGAG
Long non-coding RNA from Lepisosteus oculatus (spotted gar), 1909 nucleotides. The record is from Ensembl. Lineage: Eukaryota; Metazoa; Chordata; Actinopteri; Semionotiformes; Lepisosteidae.